RNAcentral lists this ribosomal RNA (497 nucleotides) under uncultured bacterium. RNAcentral's name for it is "partial 16S ribosomal RNA". It matches the Rfam family "Bacterial small subunit ribosomal RNA", at positions 28 to 507 of the family's 1533-position model. The record is from RNAcentral.
GAUGAACGCUGGCGGCGUGCCUAAUACAUGCAAGUCGAGCGAACGGACGAGGAGCUUGCUUCUCUGACGUUAGCGGCGGACGGGUGAGUAACACGUGGAUAACCUACCUAUAAGACUGGGAUAACUUCGGGAAACCGGAGCUAAUACCGGAUAAUAUCUUGAACCGCAUGGUUCAAUAGUAAAAGACGGUCUUGCUGUCACUUAUAGAUGGAUCCGCGCUGCAUUAGCUAGUUGGUAAGGUAACGGCUUACCAAGGCAACGAUGCGUAGCCGACCUGAGAGGGUGAUCGGCCACACUGGAACUGAGACACGGUCCAGACUCCUACGGGAGGCAGCAGUAGGGAAUCUUCCGCAAUGGGCGAAAGCCUGACGGAGCAACGCCGCGUGAGUGAUGAAGGUCUUCGGAUCGUAAAACUCUGUUAUUAGGGAAGAACAUAUGUGUAAGUAACUGUGCACAUCUUGACGGUACCUAAUCAGAAAGCCACGGCUAACUACGUG